This is a long non-coding RNA of Tympanuchus pallidicinctus (lesser prairie-chicken), 1389 nucleotides long. RefSeq lists it as uncharacterized. The record is from RefSeq and is a predicted model, not a curated record. Lineage: Eukaryota; Metazoa; Chordata; Aves; Galliformes; Phasianidae. The transcript has 4 exons.
CGCCCCUCUGGGCUGGGUGCAGCCGGGGUGGGGGUCUCCCUCAGACCGAGGGGCUCCUGGUGGCCGUGGGCUGCGGGCGGCCCUCCUGUGCGCCGUGCUGGCGGGAUGCGGUGGUCACGGGUCGGAUCGUCGCUUCUCAUUAGCGCUGAACGCCAUGGGGAGCGCGAGAGGAGGCAGCUGACAACGCCGCCUUUCUGCUCCCUUCCCACACGCCUCUCAUCCUCCCCGAGGGACCGGCGCCUCUUGGCCGGGGGGGCACGGCUCCACUUUGGGCUCCCAUCAGUGCAUCCGACGCCGAACGACUUCCUGGUGCGGUCGUUGGGUGCAGACGCUCCCAGAAGCCUCCUGUGGGGUCCUCUGAAACCUGAUGGGGGAAAAGCGAAGAACGCUGGGAGCUGGGAAAUCAGGGAGUUGUAGAACUGUAGAAUGGAUGGGUUGGAAGGGUCCUGAAAGAUCACAGAGCCGUGGGAUGAUUGGGUUGAAAGGGUCCUUGAAGAGCUUAGAGCCGUGGAAUGGAUGGGUUGGAAGGGUCCUUAAAGGUCACAGAGCCAUCGAGUGUUGGGUUGGAAGGGUCCUUAAAGAUCACAGAGCCAUCGAGUGUUGGGUUGGAAGGGUCCUUAAAGAUCACAGAGCCAUCGAGUGUUGGGUUGGAAGGGUCCUUAAAGAUCACAGAGCCAUCGAGAGUUGGGUUGGAAGGGUCCUUAAAGAUCACAGAGCCAUCGAGUGUUGGGUUGGAAGGGUCCUUAAAGAUCACAGAGCCAUCGAGAGUUGGGUUGGAAGGGUCCUUAAAGGUCACAGAGCCAUCGAGUGUUGGGUUGGAAGGGUCCUUUAAAGAGCAUCGAACCACUGAAUGGAGGAGUUCAAAGGGACUUCAAAGUCACAGACCCAUGGGAUGGUUUGGGUCAGAAGGGUCCUUAAAGCUCACACAACCAUCGGGUGGUUGGGUUGGACGGGUCCUUAAAGAUGGUGUAGGUCCAGCCCUGCCGUGGUAAACUCACCCACCCCCACCCGCGGUGUUCCUGCCCCACUCACAGCCGUGCGUCCGGCCGCACUCUGCAUGAGGACGCUUGGCCCAGCACAGCCAUCCUUCCCAGCAGCUGCCGAGCCAUCAUUUGGAGCAACCCCAACACAGCGAUCCCAAAGCAUCGCUGCCGCGCUGCCUCUCCUCCCGGCCAGGACAGGGUGCUCUGCAGGGCUCAGACCUCCAGGGUCGGCGUCACCUCCUGGAUUAUGCUGGAUGAGAGGGCUUACGCAGCAGAGGGUCAGGCUGAGAUGUAGGGGGAGGACACAAGAUGCAGGGCAAGGACACGAGAUGAAGGGCAAGGACACGAGAUGUGGGGCAAGGACACGAGAUGAAGGGCAAGGACACGAGAUGAAGGGCAAGGACAU